This 631-nucleotide ribosomal RNA is filed under the name Fellaster zelandiae. Its description in RNAcentral is "partial 16S large subunit ribosomal RNA". It matches the Rfam family "Bacterial large subunit ribosomal RNA", at positions 1799 to 2643 of the family's 2925-position model. The record is from RNAcentral. Lineage: Eukaryota; Metazoa; Echinodermata; Echinoidea; Clypeasteroida; Arachnoididae.
CCUGUUUACCAAAAACAUCGCCCUCUGAACACAACAUAUAGAGGGUCCUGCCUGCCCAGUGACUAAAGGUUAAACGGCCGCGGUAUCUUGACCGUGCGAAGGUAGCAUAAUCAUUUGUCUCCUAAAUAGAGACUGGUAUGAAUGGCAAGACGGAACUACACUGUCUCCUUUUUCUGUAUCUAAAUUUCACAUUCUCGUGAAGAGGCGGGAAUAAUAUCGUUAGACGAGAAGACCCUGUCGAGCUGAAGUAAAACCUUAGUGUUUAGUUUCUUUUAAGUUACUCUAAUUUUUAAUACUAAUUUUCUUAAUAGAUUAACAACUAAGCUUAACUUUGGUUGGGGCAACCGCGGAGUAACACCACCCUCCGCUAACAAUUUUUAACUAAGACAAACAAGUCUAAUUAAACUACUAAGUUAAUAAAUGAUCCACCUCGGUGAUCAAAGGAAAAAGUUACCGCAGGGAUAACAGCGUUAUCUUUUUUGAGAGUUCAUAUUGACAAAAAGGUUUGCGACCUCGAUGUUGGAUCGGGACAUCCUAAGGGUGCAGAAGCUCUUAAGGGUUGGUCUGUUCGACCAUUAAAGUCCUACGUGAUCUGAGUUCAGACCGGCGAGAGCCAGGUCAGUUUCUAUCU